Molecule: ribosomal RNA, 881 nt
Filed under: uncultured bacterium
Lineage: Bacteria
Description: bacterial SSU rRNA
Rfam family: Bacterial small subunit ribosomal RNA
Source: RNAcentral
CUUAGAGUUUGAUCCUGGCUCAGGACGAACGCUGGCGGCGCGCCUAACACAUGCAAGUCGAACGAGCGAGAGAGAGCUUGCUUUCUCGAGCGAGUGGCGAACGGGUGAGUAACGCGUGAGGAACCUGCCUCAAAGAGGGGGACAACAGUUGGAAACGACUGCUAAUACCGCAUAAGCCUACAGCUCGGCAUCGAGCAGAGGGAAAAGGAGCAAUCCGCUUUGAGAUGGCCUCGCGUCCGAUUAGCUAGUUGGUGAGGUAACGGCCCACCAAGGCAACGAUCGGUAGCCGGACUGAGAGGUUGAACGGCCACAUUGGGACUGAGACACGGCCCAGACUCCUACGGGAGGCAGCAGUGGGGAAUAUUGCACAAUGGGGGAAACCCUGAUGCAGCGACGCCGCGUGGAGGAAGAAGGUCUUCGGAUUGUAAACUCCUGUUGUUGAGGAAGAUAAUGACGGUACUCAACAAGGAAGUGACGGCUAACUACGUGCCAGCAGCCGCGGUAAAACGUAGGUCACAAGCGUUGUCCGGAAUUACUGGGUGUAAAGGGAGCGCAGGCGGGAAGACAAGUUGGAAGUGAAAUCUAUGGGCUCAACCCAUAAACUGCUUUCAAAACUGUUUUUCUUGAGUAGUGCAGAGGUAGGCGGAAUUCCCGGUGUAGCGGUGGAAUGCGUAGAUAUCGGGAGGAACACCAGUGGCGAAGGCGGCCUACUGGGCACCAACUGACGCUGAGGCUCGAAAGUGUGGGUAGCAAACAGGAUUAGAUACCCUGGUAGUCCACACUGUAAACGAUGAUUACUAGGUGUUGGAGGAUUGACCCCUUCAGUGCCGCAGUUAACACAAUAAGUAAUCCACCUGGGGAGUACGACCGCAAGGUUGAAA